UACGUAGGGGGCUAGCGUUGUCCGGAUUUAUUGGGCGUAAAGAGCGUGUAGGCGGCCAGGUAGGUCUGCUGUGAAAACUCGAGGCUCAACCUCGAGACGUCGGCGGAAACCAUCUGGCUAGAGUCCGGAAGAGGAGAGUGGAAUUCCUGGUGUAGCGGUGAAAUGCGCAGAUAUCAGGAAGAACACCCGUGGCGAAGGCGGCUCUCUGGGGACGGUACUGACGCUGAGACGCGAAAAGCGUGGGGGAGCGAACAGG
RNAcentral lists this ribosomal RNA (256 nucleotides) under uncultured bacterium. RNAcentral describes it as "partial 16S ribosomal RNA". It matches the Rfam family "Bacterial small subunit ribosomal RNA", at positions 524 to 776 of the family's 1533-position model. The record is from RNAcentral.